GAUGAACGCUAGCUACAGGCUUAACACAUGCAAGUCGAGGGGAAACGACAUCGAAAGCUUGCUUUUGAUGGGCGUCGACCGGCGCACGGGUGAGUAACGCGUAUCCAACCUGCCCACCACUUGGGGAUAACCUUGCGAAAGUAAGACUAAUACCCAAUGAUAUCCCACGAAGGCAUCCGAAUGGGAUUAAAGAUUUAUCGGUGAUGGAUGGGGAUGCGUCUGAUUAGCUUGUUGGCGGGGUAACGGCCCACCAAGGCAACGAUCAGUAGGGGUUCUGAGAGGAAGGUCCCCCCACAUUGGAACUGAGACACGGUCCAAACUCCUACGGGAGGCAGCAGUGAGGAAUAUUGGUCAAUGGGCGAGAGCCUGAACCAGCCAAGUAGCGUGCAGGAUGACGGCCCUAUGGGUUGUAAACUGCUUUUAUAAGGGAAUAAAGUUAGUCUCGUGAGACUUUUUGCAUGUACCUUAUGAAUAAGGACCGGCUAAUUCCGUG
This 493-nucleotide ribosomal RNA is filed under the name uncultured bacterium. RNAcentral's name for it is "bacterial SSU rRNA". It matches the Rfam family "Bacterial small subunit ribosomal RNA", at positions 28 to 507 of the family's 1533-position model. The record is from RNAcentral.